AAACGGCGUCUAAUACCGGAUACGAGCUGCAGGCAUCUUCAGCAGCUGGAAAGAACUUCGGUCAGGGAUGAGCUCGCGGCCUGUCAGCGUUGGUGAGGUAAUGGCCCACCAAGGCGUCGACGGGUAGCCGGCCUGAGAGGGUGACCCCACACUGGGACUGAGACACGGCCCAGACUCCUACGGGAGGCAGCAGUGGGGAAUAUUACAAUGGGCGAAAGCCUGAUGCAGCAACGCCGCGUGAGGGACGACGGCCUUCGGGUUGAACCUCUUUUAGCAGGGAAGAAGCGAAAGUGACGGUACCUGCAGAAAAAGCACCGGCUCUACGUGCCAGCAGCCGCGGUAAUACGUAGGGUGCAAGCGUUAUCCGGAAUUAUUGGGUAAAGAGCUCGUAGGCGGUUUGUCGCGUCUGCUGUGAAAACCCGAGGCUCAACCUCGGCUGCAGUGGGUACGGGCAGACUAGAGUGCGGUAGGGGAGAUUGGAAUUCCUGGUGUAGGUGGAAUGCGCAGAUAUCAGGAGGAACACCGAUGGCGAAGGCAGAUCUCUGGGCCGUAUGACGCUGAGGAGCGAAAGGGUGGGGAGCAAACAGGCUUAGAUACCCUGGUAGUCCACCGUAAACGUUGGGAACUAGUUGUGGGGUCCAUUCCACGGAUUCCGUGACGCAGCUAAC
RNAcentral lists this ribosomal RNA (668 nucleotides) under uncultured bacterium. RNAcentral's name for it is "bacterial SSU rRNA". It matches the Rfam family "Bacterial small subunit ribosomal RNA", at positions 154 to 856 of the family's 1533-position model. The record is from RNAcentral.